AUGGCAAGGGGAGACGGGGUCUGCGGGAGACAACCUACAGUCACACCUCCUGAGUUAUCAGGACCUCUUCCCCAGCUUCACCUGCUGACUUGGCUGAGACGGCCCAGGGAAAGUUCUAGGCCUUCAGGAAAGGGCCGGAGCUGGCUGGCCUGGCCAAGGGCAUGCGUGGCUAGGAGAAGCUGCCAGAAGAACAAGCCGAAUGUGCCAGCAGGCCAGGUGAUACCAACGCCGGCCCCUGUGCAGACGUCCUGCUCCUCAGAGUCAGAGGAUGGAAGAGGCUGCAUGGGACAGGGACAGCACUCUGUGGCUCUAGGCCUCAGCCUGCAGGACCCCGUGUCCCCAAGGCCAACACUCAGGGCCCCUCCCCUCGGCCUAGGCCUCGGGGUGCGUGCAGCACAGUCUCCUCUGCGAAGCCCUCCCCUCCUGAGUCCUCUGUCCCACUAGAGCCUGGUCCUCUUCCCCCCUCUGUCUACACCACUCCCUGUACUCACGCUCUCUCACUCUCUCACUCACUCUCUCUCAAAUAAAUAAAUCAAUAAAAUCUUUUAAAAUGAAUGAAUGAAUGAAUGAAUGAAUGAAUGAAUGAUGCUGGAGCAAUUGGGUCAGAAAAAAAAUUACUUCAACCUAAGCUAAAUCCCACCUUCUAUGCAAAAAUCAACUCGAAACGGGUCCCGGGGAAUGUGAAGGUAGGAAACUUUCAAGAAAAGAAGAAAAUCUAUGGGAUGUAAAGUAGGCAAAGUGUUUUCUGGAUUUGACAGCAAAAAUAUGACCCCAAAAAAGGAAAAAGUGAUAAACCCAACUUCAUCAGAUUUAAAAACUUCUACUCCACGAAAGACCCGUUUAGAGAAUGAAAAUGCAGCCUACAGGCCAGGAGAAAAUAUUUGCCAAUCCUAUAUAUUCGACAACAGGCGACUUACUGUCUAGAAUGUAUAAAAAAUUCUCAAAACCCAACAGUGGGGGGUGGAGAAUUCCAGUGAGAAAAUGAUGGGCAAAAAGCCCCAUGAGACGUUCAAUACGAGCAGCCAAUAAACUCAGGAGAAGAUGCUCAGCAUCGUUAUUCACCAGGAAAGCAGAGCAGAAGCACAAGGAGACAUGACUGUGUCCAGGAUGAUGGGAAUGAGGAAAACCAGCAAACCCGGUGCUGGCGGUGAGGUGGGGAAACUGGUGGCUCCACUUCGCGGAGCGGCACGCACGACGGCGCGGCCAGGCCGGAGGAGAGAUUUUUGACAUUGCCUUCAACCAACCAGCACACACAAACUAAAUACGCCACGGUCCGGGAAGGGCACUCCUAGGCCUUUAUCCCCGAGAUACAGAAUCUUACGGUCACUUUUUUUUUUAAUAGCAUACAGAUGUUUUAUAGUCGCUUUCUCUGUGACGCCCUCAAACUGGAAGCAGUGCACACGUCCUUCUCUGAGCGAAUAUGGCUAAACACACGAUGGUCCCUCCAUCCACACAAGGGCCAAGGCUCAGCAGUAAAGAACUGGUGGGGGAACGCCUGGGGGGCUCAGCGGUGGAGCGUCUGCCUUCGGCUCAGGACAUGACUCUGGGGUCCUGGGAUCGAGUCCCGCAUCGGGGUCCCCACAGGGAGCCUGCUUCUCCCUCUGCCUGUGUCUCUGCCUCUCUCUCUGUGUCUGUCAUGAAUAAAUAAAUAAAAUUUAUUUUAUUUUUUUUUAAAAAAGAACUGGUGGUGAUCCACACCACCGUGAUGAAUCUGCAGGGAAUUAUGCUGGGCGAAGAUCAUCUCAAAAAUCCCAAAAUGUUGCAGGAGGAGGGGCCGCGGUGGGAACAUUCUGUGCCUUGGGUGUCUGUGCCCGUGACCCCUACUGCAGGUACAGGACCACCAUGCGGAGAGGUGGUGCAGGGUGCCGGCUCUGAAUCUCUCCAGUAUUAUUUCCUAAAAGGGCAUGUGAAUUCUGCACUGCGAACUUGUAGGAAGAGGGGGGCCGGGAGGUCAGCCAGAGAAGUCUAUAUUCAGAGUGCCGAGAAAUCGCUCCCCGAAGGAGAAGGCCUUCCUGGGCUGCUUAACUGCAGGGCAUAGGGACGCACGAAGCCUGUCAUUGCACAGAUGUGCCAGAAAGUGAAGAAUGUUGAAAAGCCUUGACUGAAGGUACUGAGAAAAUUCUCACCCCAAAACCAAUUUUUUUUAAAAAAAAAAGAUAUUUAUUUAUUUAUUUAUUUAUUUAUUUGUUUGUUUGAGACGGAGAGAGCGUGAGGUGGGGGGGACCAGCAGAGGGAGAGGGAGAAGCAGGCUCCCCGCUGAGCACGGAGGCGGAUGUGGGGCUCAAUCCCAGGACACCGGGGUCAUGACCUGAGCCGAAGGCAGACGCCUCACCGACUGAGCCACCCAGGCGCCCCCCUUAAAAACAAAACUUCUUAAGUUCAUCAUUAAAAUAACGAAACAAGAAAUGAAGUACGGUUCCUUCUUUGAGAUUAAAGAUCAGAAUGCAGCACAGUAUUUCAGGGUGAAACUGGAUUUCUUUUCUUAAAUAUUGUGGGCUUUUUUUUUAAGUAAACUUUAACGUGGGGCCUGAACCCACGACCCUGGAUCGAGAGCCGCACGCUCCACCAACAGAGCCAGGCAGGCGCCCCUGAACCUGGACUUCUAAGCCUCAACGCAUGGUCAGCAUUUAAUGCUAAUUUUUGGAAAACUCUGUAAAUGUUUCUUAGAUAUUUGUGUUGCUUUUACUGGAACCUAGCUCAGGAACGGUAUUAAUAAAAUACUUACUACAAAUGUUUUGGAAAUCACAUGUGACUGGGCAAUUACCUCAAGUAAAACAAUUUUUUUUAAGUUAAGAAUAAAAUGAGUAUAGGCAUGUUGUAUUUUAUAUUUAAUAAUAUAUCGUGAGCAUUUUUCAUUGUCGAAAAUAUGCUUAUAUAUUAUAUAUUAUUGAGUAUAAACGUUUCGCUUAUACAUAGACCGUAUUAUUCAACUAUUCCCCUCCCCCAGGGAUUUGGGCUAUUUCAAGUCAUUUGUUUAUUAUUUUUUAAAAUGCUGAGAAUAGGGGCGCCUGGGUAGCCAGACUCUUGGUUUCGGCUCAGGUCACGGUCUCAGGGUCAUGAGAUCGAGCCCCAAGUCAGGCUCCGUGGUCGGUGUGGGGGCUGCUUGGGCUUCUUUCUCCCUCUCCCUCUUCCCCUCCCUCCAAGCUCACUCACGCUGUCUCUCCAAUAAAUAGAUAAAUCUUUUUUUUUUAAAGGCUGAGGAUAACAUCCUGGUGCCCUUUUUUGUUUUGUUUUUUGUAUCUUUAUUGAGAUACAAAUAACAUCAUCAUAAUAAUGCACCCAUUUCAGGUGUACAGUUUAGGGGCUCCUCCCACAACCCGGUGCCUCCCUGGAGGCCGAGCCGACGGUCAGGCCCACAGGUCUGCUCAGUCAGCCGGUG
RNAcentral lists this long non-coding RNA (3379 nucleotides) under Canis lupus familiaris (dog). RNAcentral describes it as "lncRNA (ENSCAFG00040001365.1)". The record is from RNAcentral. Lineage: Eukaryota; Metazoa; Chordata; Mammalia; Carnivora; Canidae.